RNAcentral lists this ribosomal RNA (916 nucleotides) under uncultured Rhodospirillaceae bacterium. RNAcentral's name for it is "bacterial SSU rRNA". It matches the Rfam family "Bacterial small subunit ribosomal RNA", at positions 8 to 916 of the family's 1533-position model. Lineage: Bacteria; Pseudomonadati; Pseudomonadota; Alphaproteobacteria; Rhodospirillales; Rhodospirillaceae. The record is from RNAcentral.
AGAGUUUGAUCCUGGCUCAGAUUGAACGCUGGCGGCAUGCCUUACACAUGCAAGUCGAACGGCAGCACGGGUGCUUGCACCUGGUGGCGAGUGGCGAACGGGUGAGUAAAGUAUCGGAACGUACCUUUCAGUGGGGGAUAACGUAGCGAAAGUUACGCUAAUACCGCAUAUUCUGUGAGCAGGAAAGCAGGGGAUCGUAAGACCUUGCGCUGAUUGAGCGGCCGAUAUCAGAUUAGCUAGUUGGUGAGGUAAAGGCUCACCAAGGCAACGAUCUGUAGCGGGUCUGAGAGGAUGAUCCGCCACACUGGGACUGAGACACGGCCCAGACUCCUACGGGAGGCAGCAGUGGGGAAUUUUGGACAAUGGGGGUAACCCUGAUCCAGCCAUGCCGCGUGAGUGAAGAAGGCCUUCGGGUUGUAAAGCUCUUUCGGCCGGGAAGAAAUCGUGUGGGCUAAUACCCUGCAUGGAUGACGGUACCGGAAUAAGAAGCACCGGUUAAUUAUGUGUUAGUAGUCGCGGUAAUACGUAGGGUGCGAGCGUUAAUCGGAAUUACUGGGCGUAAAGCGUGCGCAGGCGGUUUUGUAAGACAGGCGUGAAAUUUCCGGGCUUAACCUGGGAACUGCGCUUGUGACUGCAAGGCUAGAGUACGGCAGAGGGGGGUGGAAUUCCACGUGUAGCAGUGAAAUGCGUAGAGAUGUGGAGGAACGCUGAUGGUGAAGGCAGCCCCCUGGGCCGAUACUGACGCUCAUGCACGAAAGCGUGGGUAGUAAAUAGGAUUAGAUACCCUGGUAGUCCACGCCCUAAACGAUGUCAACUAGGUGUUGGGUGGGUAAAAUUAUUUAGUACCGUAGCUAACGCGUGAAGUUGACCGCCUGGGGAGUACGGCCGCAAGGUUAAAACUCAAAGGAAUUGACGG